RNAcentral lists this long non-coding RNA (2580 nucleotides) under Populus trichocarpa (black cottonwood). RNAcentral describes it as "long non-coding RNA (PTRI_LNC002233)". Lineage: Eukaryota; Viridiplantae; Streptophyta; Magnoliopsida; Malpighiales; Salicaceae. The record is from RNAcentral.
AUUUAAUUUAUUUUUUAAAACCAAACCAAACCAUUAAAGACAUGCAGCACAUGAACAUAAACAUAAAUAGAAAAAAUUCAGGAGAACAUAAACAUAAAUAGAAAAGAUUAGUCAGCUACUGUAUGCAAAGAUUGUCCUAUGAGUGAAUGUGUUUCUUGCUCCAGCAGACCGAACCAAACCUUUAUAUUGCAGCGAGGAAAGCGCUUGAGGAGAUAUAAGGACUACUUAGAGGCUCGGGAUGAGUAGAAGAGUGAAGAAGAUAGAGGAACAAAUCUAGCUAAUACAGGCGAUGCAGAAGAUAUAUGGAACUAAACAAGUUUAGUUUGAAUUAAUUUUAAUUUGAUUUAAUUUAUAUUUUUUAAACUAAACCAAACCAUAAAAGACAUGCAGCAGGUGAACAUAAACAUAAAUAGAAAAGAUUAGUCAGCUACUGUAUGGAAAGAUUGUCCUAUGAGUGAAUGCGUUCCUUACUCCAACUACCCAAACCAAACCCUUUUCUUGCAGCGAGGAAAGCGCAUGAAUAGAUAUAAGGACUACUUAGAGGCUCGGGCUGAGUAGAAGAGUGAAGAAGAUAGAGGAACAAACCUAGCUAAUACAGGCGAUGCAGGAGAUAUAUGGAACCAAACAAGUUUAGUUUGAAUUAAUUUUAAUUUGAUUUAAUUUAUAUUUUUUAAACCAAACCAAACCAUAAAAGACAUGCAGCAUGUGAAUAUAAACAUAAAUAGAAAAGAUUACGUCAGCUACUGCAUGGAAGGAUUGUCCUAUGAGUGAAUGCGUUUCUUGCUCCAGCUGCCCGAACCAAACCAUUUUCUUGCAGCGAGAAAAGCGCUUGAGGAGAUAUAAGGAAUAGUAAGAGGGUCGGGCUGAGUAGAAGAGUGAAGAAGAUAGAUGAACAAAUCUAGCUAAUACAGGAGAUGCAGGAGAUAUAUGGAACCAAACAAGUUUAGUUUGAAUUAAUUUUAAUUUGAUUUAAUUUAUAUUUUUUAAAUCAAACCAAACCAUAAAAGACAUGAAAUAGGUGAACAUAAAACAUAAACAGAAAAGAUUCAGGUGAACAUAAACAUAAAUAGAAAAGAUUAGUCAGCUACUGUAUGGAAAGAUUGUCCUAUGAGUUAAUGCGUUUCUUGCUCCAGCUGCCCGAACCAAACCCUUUUCUUGCAGCGAGGAAAGCGCUUGAGGAGAUAUAAAGACUACUUAGAGGCUUGGGCUGAGUAGAAGAGUGAAGAAGAUAGAGGAACAAAUCUAGCUAAUACAGGCGAUGCAGGAGAUAUAUGGAACCAAACAAGUUUAGUUUGAAUUAAUUUUAAUUUGAUUUAAUUUAUAUUUUUUCAACCAAACCAAACCAUAAAAGACAUGCAGCAGGUGAAUAUAAACAUAAAUAGAAAAGAUUAGUCAGCUACUGUAUGGAAAGAUUGUCCUAUGAGUGAAUGAGUUUCUUGCUCCAGCUGCCCGAACCAAACCCUUUUGUUGUAGCGAGGAAAGCGCUUGAGGAGAUAUAAGGAUAACUUAGAGCAUCGGGCUGAGUAGAAGAGUGAAGAAGAUAGAGGAACAAACCUAGUUAAUACAGGCGAUGCAGGAGAUAUAUGGAACCAAACAAGUUUAGUUUGAAUUAAUUUUAAUUGGAUUUAAUUUAUAUUUUUUAAACCAAACCAAACCGUAAAAGACAUGCAGCAGGUGAACAUAAACAUAAAUAGAAAGAUUCAGGUGAACAUAAACAUAAAUAGAAAAGAUUAGUCAGCUAUUGUAUGGAAAGAUUGUCCUAUGAGUGAAUGCAUUUCUUGCUCCAACUGCCCGAGCCAAACCCUUUUCUUGCAGCGAGGAAAGCACUUGAGGAGAUAUAAGAACUGCUUUGAGGCUCGGGCUGAGUAGAAGAGUGAAGAAAAUAGAGAAAAAAAUCUAGCUAAUACAGGCGAUGCAGGAGAUAUAUGGAACCAAACAAGUUUAGUUUGAAUUAAUUUUAAUUUGAUUUAAUUUAUAUAUUUUAAACCAAAUCAAACCAUAAAAGACAUGCAGCAUGUGAACAUAAAUAUAAAUAGAAAAGAUUAGUCAACUACUGUAUGGAAGGAUUGUCCUAUAAGUGAAUGCGUUUCUUGCUCCAGUGCAGCGAGGAAAGCGCUUGAGGAGAUAUAAGAACUACUUAGAGGCUCGGGCUGAGUAGAAGAGUGUAGAAGAUAAAGGAACAAAUCUAGCUAAUACAGUCAUGCAGGAGACAUAUGAAACUAAACAAGUUUAGUUUGAAUUAAUUUUAAUUUGAUUUGAUUUAUAUUUUUUAAACCAAACCGAUCAUGUACGUAAUUUUUACAAAUAUGUAAUUAAUCAAUUUGACUGUAAAAUGAAAUCUUUCUAAUUUCAUGGAGGGACGGAAUUCAACAACGCUCACUUUACAAAUCUUUUUGAGCCAAACCAACGCCCGCUUUACUUCUUUUCUUCUUGAAAAUAGUAUUGUAAAGUGAGCGUUAAUUAAUCAAUUUGACUGUAAAAUGAAAUCUUUUUAAUUUGAUGGAGGGACGGAAUUAACCAACGCUCACUUUACAAAUCUUUUUGAGCCAAACCAACGCCCGCUUUACUUCUUUUCUUCUU